Molecule: ribosomal RNA, 467 nt
Filed under: uncultured bacterium
Lineage: Bacteria
Description: partial 16S ribosomal RNA
Rfam family: Bacterial small subunit ribosomal RNA
Source: RNAcentral
GACGAACGCUGGCGGCGUGCUUAACACAUGCAAGUCGAACGAUGACGACCGAGCUUGCUCGGUCUGAUUAGUGGCGAACGGGUGAGUAACACGUGAGCAACCUGCCCUUCACUCUGGGAUAACCUCGGGAAAUCGGGGCUAAUACCGGAUAUGAGCUCCUGUCGCAUGGCGGGUGUUGGAAAGUUUUUCGGUGAAGGAUGGGCUCGCGGCCUAUCAGUUUGUUGGUGAGGUAGUGGCUCACCAAGGCGAUGACGGGUAGCCGGCCUGAGAGGGCGACCGGCCACACUGGGACUGAGACACGGCCCAGACUCCUACGGGAGGCAGCAGUGGGGAAUAUUGCACAAUGGGCGAAAGCCUGAUGCAGCGACGCCGCGUGAGGGAUGACGGCCUUCGGGUUGUAAACCCCUUUCAGCAGGGAAGAAGCGAAAGUGACGGUACCUGCAGAAGAAGCGCCGGCUAACUACGUG